This 26-nucleotide non-coding RNA is filed under the name Rattus norvegicus (Norway rat). The record is from RNAcentral. Lineage: Eukaryota; Metazoa; Chordata; Mammalia; Rodentia; Muridae.
CUUCAAAAGGAAACUCACCAAUCCCU